CCCAGACCCCAGCAGCUUGGCAAAGGCAUCACUGUAGCAGGUUCUGUGUCUUACCCUGGCAGUUCUGUGGGUCUCACAGUCAUGCAGCCUGAAGGGUGAAGUGGAGCAUCUUCCAUAUUUUAAGAACCGUAUAUAUUUCCUUCUUUGUGGACUAUUAAUAUCUUUUGAUGAUGUCAGGGUUUGCAACGGAAUAGAUUUAAUACAGGACACAUAAUUUAUAGGAUUAUUUUAUAAUAUUUACCCAAAAAGUCAAAUGCAGAAGAGCGCAAGAGAUCUGUCCACAUGCUAGAGACCUGAAGAAUCCAGCAGAGGGCCUGGAUCCUGUAAUGUCCUCCACAAGUCCCUCUGGAGGCCCUGAGCCCGCAGCAGUCUCAUGCAAGUCUGUAUCAAGGACCUGCACCGGGAAGGUCCAAAGGCCGGUGGUGGAAGCUAGAAAGUCUGCACUGGCAGCGUGAAGGAUCUGCACUGGAGCCAGGAAGCGAGGCUCGAGGCAAAGAUCAGAGCUCCCUUGAAGAGAAGAAGCAAAGACCUGAGCUCCUCUAACAAGAACAGCUGAGUUCUUAUCAGGGAAACCAGCUAUGGCAAGCUUCUUCAGGAAAAUCAGCAGCAUACAAUCUUCCCUUCCAGUUCUCCUUUCAUGCCAUUGGGAACAAUCCUCAGGUGGGUCUUCAAUGCCCAGAACCAUGCUGACUCAGUUCAGCUGGGCGUUCCCACUUAAACAGACCAUUAGUUAAUCCAUCACAGCCUUCAUCCAUCUUCCUGUUGGGUUAGUCUAUAUUUACAGAACCGAAAGUAUUAAAUACAUUUUAAAUGACUUCUGACAUGAUGUCUUACUUAGAAAGGCCCACCUUUCUAAAAUACAAUAAUGCAAUCCUCCCUGAUUUGUGAUCUUUCUACUUGCAGCUUUUCAACUUUAUGAUGGUGCAAAAAUAAUAUGGACUCAUUAAUCAGACUUCAAUGUUUUUUUCUUUUUCC
RNAcentral lists this long non-coding RNA (975 nucleotides) under Heterocephalus glaber (naked mole-rat). RNAcentral describes it as "lncRNA (ENSHGLG00000048630.1)". The record is from RNAcentral. Lineage: Eukaryota; Metazoa; Chordata; Mammalia; Rodentia; Bathyergidae.